Molecule: ribosomal RNA, 532 nt
Filed under: uncultured Erysipelothrix sp.
Lineage: Bacteria; Bacillati; Bacillota; Erysipelotrichia; Erysipelotrichales; Erysipelotrichaceae
Description: bacterial SSU rRNA
Rfam family: Bacterial small subunit ribosomal RNA
Source: RNAcentral
GUGCCAGCAGCUGCGGUAAUACGUAGGUGGCGAGCGUUAUCCGGAAUUAUUGGGCGUAAAGGGAGCGUAGGCGGUUUAUUAAGUCUAAGGUGAAAGUUCGGGGCUCAACCCCGUGAUGCCUUAGAAACUGGUAGACUUGAGUACAGGAGAGGUGAGUGGAAUUCCAUGUGUAGCGGUAAAAUGCGUAGAUAUAUGGAGGAACACCAGUGGCGAAGGCGGCUCACUGGCCUGUAACUGACGCUGAGGCUCGAAAGCGUGGGGAGCAAAUAGGAUUAGAUACCCUAGUAGUCCACGCCGUAAACGAUGGAUACUAAGUGUUGGGCGGAAGUUCAGUGCUGCAGUUAACGCAAUAAGUAUCCCGCCUGGGGAGUAUGCGCGCAAGCGUAAAACUCAAAGGAAUUGACGGGGGCCCGCACAAGCGGUGGAGUAUGUGGUUUAAUUCGAAGCAACGCGAAGAACCUUACCAGGUCUUGACAUACCACGCAAAAGCACAGAGAUGUAGUAAUAGUUAUGGUGAUACAGGUGGUGCUAG